AUACGUAGGUGGCAAGCGUUGUCCGGAAUUAUUGGGCGUAAAGCGCGCGCAGGCGGUCUUUUAAGUCUGAUGUGAAAGCCCCCGGCUCAACCGGGGAGGGUCAUUGGAAACUGGGAGACUUGAGUACAGAAGAGAAGAGUGGAAUUCCACGUGUAGCGGUGAAAUGCGUAGAGAUGUGGAGGAACACCAGUGGCGAAGGCGACUCUUUGGUCUGUAACUGACGCUGAGGCGCGAAAGCGUGGGGAGCGAACAGGAUUAGAUACCCUGGUAGUCCACGCCGUAAACGAUGAGUGCUAAGUGUUAGGGGGUUUCCGCCCUUUAGUGCUGCAGCAAACGCAUUAAGCACUCCGCCUGGGGAGUACGGCCGCAAGGCUGAA
RNAcentral lists this ribosomal RNA (377 nucleotides) under uncultured bacterium. Its description in RNAcentral is "bacterial SSU rRNA". It matches the Rfam family "Bacterial small subunit ribosomal RNA", at positions 523 to 898 of the family's 1533-position model. The record is from RNAcentral.